UAGGGAAUAUUGGACAAUGGGGGCAACCCUGAUCCAGCCAUGCCGCGUGAGUGAAGAAGGCCCUCGGGUUGUAAAGCUCUUUUGUCCGGAAAGAAAAGCAUUCGGUGAAUACCCGGAUGUUCUGACGGUACCGGAAGAAUAAGCACCGGCUAACUUCGUGCCAGCAGCCGCGGUAAUAUGAAGGGUGCAAGCGUUACUCGGAAUUACUGGGCGUAAAGCGUGCGUAGGUGGUUGUUUAAGUCUGAUGUGAAAGCCCUGGGCUCAACCUGGGAAUGGCAUUGGAAACUGGGCAGCUAGAGUGCGGUAGAGNGUAGUGGAAUUCCCGGUGUAGCAGUGAAAUGCGUAGAGAUCGGGAGGAACAUCUGUGGCGAAGGCGACUGCCUGGACCAGCACUGACACUGAGGCACGAAAGCGUGGGGAGCAAACA
RNAcentral lists this ribosomal RNA (427 nucleotides) under uncultured bacterium. Its description in RNAcentral is "bacterial SSU rRNA". It matches the Rfam family "Bacterial small subunit ribosomal RNA", at positions 355 to 774 of the family's 1533-position model. The record is from RNAcentral.